GGCAAAAGCUCAAAUUUGAAAUCCCCCGGGAAUUGUAAUUUGAAGAGAUUUGGGUCCGGCCGGCGGGGGUUAAGUCCACUGGAAAGUGGCGCCACAGAGGGUGACAGCCCCGUGAACCCCUUUAACGCCCUCAUCCCAGAUCUCCAAGAGUCGAGUUGUUUGGGAAUGCAGCUCUAAGUGGGUGGUAAAUUCCAUCUAAAGCUAAAUACCGGCGAGAGACCGAUAGCGAACAAGUACAGUGAUGGAAAGAUGAAAAGCACUUUGAAAAGAGAGUGAAAAAGUACGUGAAAUUGUUGAAAGGGAAGGGCUUGCAAGCAGACACUUAACUGGGCCAGCAUCGGGGCGGCGGGAAACAAAACCACCGGGGAAUGUACCUUUCGAGGAUUAUAACCCCGGUCUCUAUUUCCUUGUUGCCCCGAGGCCUGCAUUCUAAGGAUGCUGGCGUAAUGGUUGCAAGUCGCCCGUCUU
RNAcentral lists this ribosomal RNA (468 nucleotides) under Metschnikowia aff. pulcherrima. Its description in RNAcentral is "partial large subunit ribosomal RNA". It matches the Rfam family "Eukaryotic large subunit ribosomal RNA", at positions 100 to 655 of the family's 3401-position model. The record is from RNAcentral. Lineage: Eukaryota; Fungi; Ascomycota; Pichiomycetes; Serinales; Metschnikowiaceae.